UGGAAAUUGCCAAUUUGCAGACAAACGCGUUUUUCGAAACUCCAUUAUUCCGCGUAACUGGAUCGAGUUCCAGAUUAAAUCGGUCCUUGUAAUUUCGGAACACAUCGAAUCUGUUGGUGGUGAUCAAAGGACAUCGAUGAAAUAUGACCCCGUACGAAAAGGAGAACUCGGAUUACACUUCCGGUAUUGGUGCGAAAAUGCGAGCUACUCUUCCGACUGUUUUUUCACCAUCCGGAAGAAGCGGGAAUGGGCUGGACUGCUUUAAAAACAUCACCCGCCGGUCAAAAAUUAAUACCUCACCCCUCGUGAACGAACAGUACUAGAGUCAAUGAUAUUUUGACCAUUUUCUUCUUCAAAAUGUCACCAAGGUAUAUCGCUACUUCCGGCGUUGUCCGGCACCGGCGUUAUAUUAGUUUUUUUUUUAUCAUUUUAAUUUGCAUUUUCGAUUAAUAGCGAUAACUGUUUUGAUAUAGUGUAUUGGUUUCAAUUAAUAAAAAUACUAAAUAGAAACCGGAGAUUUUAAUGAAAAU
This is a long non-coding RNA of Uranotaenia lowii, 530 nucleotides long. RefSeq lists it as uncharacterized. The record is from RefSeq and is a predicted model, not a curated record. Lineage: Eukaryota; Metazoa; Arthropoda; Insecta; Diptera; Culicidae. The transcript has 3 exons.